Molecule: ribosomal RNA, 497 nt
Filed under: uncultured bacterium
Lineage: Bacteria
Description: partial 16S ribosomal RNA
Rfam family: Bacterial small subunit ribosomal RNA
Source: RNAcentral
GAUGGACGCUGGCGGCGUGCCUAAUACAUGCAAGUCGAGCGAACGGACGAGAAGCUUGCUUUUCUGAUAUUAGCGGCGGACGGGUGAGUAACACGUGGAUAACCUACCUAUAAGACUGGGAUAACUUCGGGAAACCGGAGCUAAUACCGGAUAAUAUUUUGAACCGCAUGGUUCAAAAGUGAAAGACGGUCUUGCUGUCACUUAUAGAUGGAUCCGCGCUGCAUUAGCUAGUUGGUAAGGUAACGGCUUACCAAGGCAACGAUGCAUAGCCGACCUGAGAGGGUGAUCGGCCACACUGGAACUGAGACACGGUCCAGACUCCUACGGGAGGCAGCAGUAGGGAAUCUUCCGCAAUGGGCGAAAGCCUGACGGAGCAACGCCGCGUGAGUGAUGAAGGUCUUCGGAUCGUAAAACUCUGUUAUUAGGGAAGAACAUAUGUGUAAGUAACUGUGCACAUCUUGACGGUACCUAAUCAGAAAGCCACGGCUAACUACGUG